Myotis brandtii (Brandt's bat) is the source of this 76-nucleotide non-coding RNA. The record is from Rfam. Lineage: Eukaryota; Metazoa; Chordata; Mammalia; Chiroptera; Vespertilionidae.
GAGACACCCUUAUGGGGCAGGACUUGCUUCAGUGGGGCUUUGGUACUCACUGAGGCUGUCCCUUGAGUGUGUCACU